CCUACGGGAGGCAGCAGUGGGGGAUAUUGCACAAUGGGGGGAACCCUGAUGCAGCGACGCCGCGUGGGUGAAGAAGCGCCUCGGCGCGUAAAGCCCUGUCAGCAGGGAAGAAAAUGACGGUACCUGAAGAAGAAGCCCCGGCGAACUACGUGCCAGCAGCCGCGGUAAUACGCAGGGGGCAAGCGUUAUCCGGAUUUACUGGGUGUAAAGGGGGCGCAGACGGCGAGGCAAGGCAGGUGUGAAAGCCCGGGGCUCAACCCCGGGACUGCUCUUGGGACUGGGUGGCUGGAGUGCAGGAGGGGCAGGCGGAAUUCCUGGUGUAGCGGUGAAAGGCGUAGAGAUCAGGAGGAACACCGGUGGCGAAGGCGGCCUGCUGGAC
This 379-nucleotide ribosomal RNA is filed under the name uncultured bacterium. RNAcentral describes it as "partial 16S ribosomal RNA". It matches the Rfam family "Bacterial small subunit ribosomal RNA", at positions 338 to 734 of the family's 1533-position model. The record is from RNAcentral.